This 251-nucleotide long non-coding RNA is filed under the name Phoenix dactylifera (date palm). RNAcentral's name for it is "long non-coding RNA (PDAC_LNC018063)". Lineage: Eukaryota; Viridiplantae; Streptophyta; Magnoliopsida; Arecales; Arecaceae. The record is from RNAcentral.
AAAUCAAAGAACUGAUUAGGACCAUAGCCGGAAUGAAGCCCCUCUUUGAACUGUUCCCAAGUGAUAACCCCCAUCUCUUGUUUAAGCAAUUGGUACCAAAGUUGUGCCUCACCUUCAAGAUGAAAAGAUGCUAGAGAGACUCGAUCGGCACUUGGUAUCUCAUGAAUUUGAAAGAAUUGUUCAGCUCUACACACCCAACUCGUCAGGUCUUCUGCUCCAUUGAAGCAGGGAAAGUCUAACCUCACUGUUUU